Small nucleolar RNA from Psammomys obesus (fat sand rat), 132 nucleotides. RefSeq annotates it as small nucleolar RNA SNORA17. The record is from RefSeq and is a predicted model, not a curated record. The transcript has a single exon. NCBI's taxonomy places the organism in Eukaryota, Metazoa, Chordata, Mammalia, Rodentia, Muridae.
CCUGCUCCUAGAGGCGCUGCAGGUGUGGCUGCUGUGCCACGUGUGCGUCAGUGGGUGGCGGAGAGGACAGAGGCUGUGUCUACACUCAGUGUUCUGACCUGCGAGCACCUGGAUCAUUAGUGGCCUUACCCU